UGGGGAAUAUUGCGCAAUGGGCGAAAGCCUGACGCAGCGACGCCGCGUGAGGGAUGACGGCCUUCGGGUUGUAAACCUCUUUCAGCAGGGACGAAGCGCAAGUGACGGUACCUGCAGAAGAAGCACCGGCUAACUACGUGCCAGCAGCCGCGGUAAUACGUAGGGUGCGAGCGUUGUCCGGAAUUAUUGGGCGUAAAGAGCUCGUAGGCGGUUUGUCGCGUCGACUGUGAAAACCUACAGCUUAACUGUGGGCUUGCAGUCGAUACGGGCAGACUUGAGUUCGGUAGGGGAGACUGGAAUUCCUGGUGUAGCGGUGAAAUGCGCAGAUAUCAGGAGGAACACCGGUGGCGAAGGCGGGUCUCUGGGCCGAUACUGACGCUGAGGAGCGAAAGCGUGGGGAGCGAACAGGAUUAGAUACCCCUGUAGUCC
Molecule: ribosomal RNA, 429 nt
Filed under: uncultured bacterium
Lineage: Bacteria
Description: bacterial SSU rRNA
Rfam family: Bacterial small subunit ribosomal RNA
Source: RNAcentral